GUAGCUCACUCAGUAGAGCAUGACACUCUUAAUCUCAGGGUUGUGGGUUUGAGCCCCAUGCU
RNAcentral lists this transfer RNA (62 nucleotides) under Podarcis lilfordi (Lilford's wall lizard). RNAcentral describes it as "tRNA.Lys". Lineage: Eukaryota; Metazoa; Chordata; Lepidosauria; Squamata; Lacertidae. The record is from RNAcentral.